This 1000-nucleotide ribosomal RNA is filed under the name Levilactobacillus brevis. RNAcentral describes it as "bacterial SSU rRNA". It matches the Rfam family "Bacterial small subunit ribosomal RNA", at positions 114 to 1096 of the family's 1533-position model. The record is from RNAcentral. Lineage: Bacteria; Bacillati; Bacillota; Bacilli; Lactobacillales; Lactobacillaceae.
CACGUGGGAAAUCUGCCCAGAAGCAGGGGAUAACACUUGGAAACAGGUGCUAAUACCGUAUAACAACAAAAUCCGCAUGGAUUUUGUUUGAAAGGUGGCUUCGGCUAUCACUUCUGGAUGAUCCCGCGGCGUAUUAGUUAGUUGGUGAGGUAAAGGCCCACCAAGACGAUGAUACGUAGCCGACCUGAGAGGGUAAUCGGCCACAUUGGGACUGAGACACGGCCCAAACUCCUACGGGAGGCAGCAGUAGGGAAUCUUCCACAAUGGACGAAAGUCUGAUGGAGCAAUGCCGCGUGAGUGAAGAAGGGUUUCGGCUCGUAAAACUCUGUUGUUAAAGAAGAACACCUUUGAGAGUAACUGUUCAAGGGUUGACGGUAUUUAACCAGAAAGCCACGGCUAACUACGUGCCAGCAGCCGCGGUAAUACGUAGGUGGCAAGCGUUGUCCGGAUUUAUUGGGCGUAAAGCGAGCGCAGGCGGUUUUUUAAGUCUGAUGUGAAAGCCUUCGGCUUAACCGGAGAAGUGCAUCGGAAACUGGGAGACUUGAGUGCAGAAGAGGACAGUGGAACUCCAUGUGUAGCGGUGGAAUGCGUAGAUAUAUGGAAGAACACCAGUGGCGAAGGCGGCUGUCUAGUCUGUAACUGACGCUGAGGCUCGAAAGCAUGGGUAGCGAACAGGAUUAGAUACCCUGGUAGUCCAUGCCGUAAACGAUGAGUGCUAAGUGUUGGAAGGGUUUCCGCCCUUCAGUGCUGCAGCUAACGCAUUAAGCACUCCGCCUGGGGAGUACGACCGCAAGGUUGAAACUCAAAGGAAUUGACGGGGGCCCGCACAAGCGGUGGAGCAUGUGGUUUAAUUCGAAGCUACGCGAAGAACCUUACCAGGUCUUGACAUCUUCUGCCAAUCUUAGAGAUAAGACGUUCCCUUCGGGGACAGAAUGACAGGUGGUUGCAUGGUUGUCGUCAGCUCGUGUCCUGAAAAGUUUGGGUUAAGUCCCGCAACGAG